GUGUAUGCUUUUCCUAAAGACUAAGGGAUGCAUGCCUCCGAAUAGAAGAGCAUUCUCUCUGAAUCUGCGAACGGCUCCGCAAACCAGUUGUAAACCAUAGCGAGCAUGUCCCUGGGCGGACCGCAAGGCGAGCCCAGGGGCGAUAAGGAUAACCCUGGUAAUUCUGAGGCUAAUACAAGAACGUAAAACCUGGCUGACCGGCAACGGAAGGCUGGGGGACGUGCGACAUAUGCAAAAGAUAACUGGGAAUGGGUGCACGUUCAGACCGCCAUCCAAACGGUAGCGCUGGUUCGCCAGUGCGUCCGGGCGGCUCUCGCGUUGUGCUUCUGACCUAUCAACUAGAUGGCAGCGUAAGGGACAUGCUAUGGUGACAACGGGUACAGAGGAUAAGGGUUCGAUCCUGGAGAGUGGGCCUGAGAGAUUGCUCACACUUCUAAGGAAGGCAGCAGGCGCGCAACGUUCCCCUUGGGCAAUGCUCGAGGGCGUUAGGGGACAUAUGAAUGCCUGCCAAUAGGUGGGCAAUUCAAAUGGGUCUGUUCUAAACAGCCUCUCGAGUAACAAUUAGAGGACAAGUCUGGUGCCAGCACCCGCGGUAAUUCCAGCUCUAAUAGCAUACGUUAAAGUUGUUGCGGUUAAAACGCUCGUAGUCGGCUUCAGAUCUUCAGAAACCUGAUUCGUGAAGUGGGUCCGCUGCCCCGGUCAAGGGCACGCCAUGGAGCGUCGAUGGUGGACGUUGGUCAAAUGCGCUCUGGGCUGUCCUUCGGGUCACAGGGUUGGUGGGUAACUGCCAGCUCGGUCUUGGGUGCCAAUUACCAUGAUUAAACCGGAGUGAUCGAGGCAGGUCUUUUGACACACACGGCACAGCAUGGUAUAAAUCCUCACCGGCAAGCUGUAUUUGCAGCGGCUUAGCUGGUAGGAGCGAAAGGGGUGUUCGAGGGUGACCGAAUUGCUGGGCGAGUGGUGAAAUACGUUGACCCUAGCAAGUCGACCAAAGGCGAAAGCAGCCAUCAAGGGCACGCCCGUUGAUCAAGAGCGAAAGUUAAGGGUUCGAAGACGAUCAGAUACCGUCGUAGUCUUAACUAUAAAUGAUGCAAACCAGGGAUAGGACACUGUCCAUCUCGACUCCUCCCGAACCUUGGAGAAAUCAGAGUCUUUGGGUUCUGGGGGGAGUAUGGUCGCAAGGCUGAAACUUAAAGGAAUUGAC
Molecule: ribosomal RNA, 1204 nt
Filed under: Physarum bivalve
Lineage: Eukaryota; Evosea; Eumycetozoa; Physariida; Physaraceae
Description: SSU rRNA
Rfam family: Eukaryotic small subunit ribosomal RNA
Source: RNAcentral